This 253-nucleotide ribosomal RNA is filed under the name uncultured bacterium. Its description in RNAcentral is "partial 16S ribosomal RNA". It matches the Rfam family "Bacterial small subunit ribosomal RNA", at positions 524 to 776 of the family's 1533-position model. The record is from RNAcentral.
UACAGAGGUCUCAAGCGUUGUUCGGAUUCAUUGGGCGUAAAGGGUGCGUAGGUGGCGCUGUAAGUCAGGUGUGAAAUUUCGGAGCUUAACUCCGAAACUGCAUUUGAUACUGCGGUGCUUGAGGACUGGAGAGGAGACUGGAAUUUACGGUGUAGCAGUGAAAUGCGUAGAGAUCGUAAGGAAGACCAGUGGCGAAGGCGGCUACCUGGACAAUUGCUGACGCUCAGGCACGAAAGCGUGGGGAGCAAAAGGG